This 62-nucleotide transfer RNA is filed under the name Zeugodacus caudatus. Its description in RNAcentral is "tRNA-Cys". Lineage: Eukaryota; Metazoa; Arthropoda; Insecta; Diptera; Tephritidae. The record is from RNAcentral. RNAcentral also lists the same sequence under 1 other name.
GGCUUUAUAGUCAACAAUGACAUUAGACUGCAAUUCUAAAGGAGUAAAAUUUACUAAGGCUU